CUUUGCUCUUCUUCUUCUUUCGUCUUUUUUUCUUGGCUGCUUCCUCAGCCGUAGAGGCAGCUCCUUCUUCCCUGUCGUCUGGAUCCAGGUCGCCAUUCAGGUGGCUCCCGGAGGCCGCUACCUCCUCCACACCCGCCAUGUUGCCCGAGAGAGCGCGAGGGAAUGAGACAGAGCGGCGAGGGCCCCGAUCCUUCUCCACCCGCCUACACCAGCCACGCCGGAAGCUGCUCUCGAUGGUAGGGACGCAGGGAAUGCUGGGACGGCGGAGGACUCAGCUGAGGGUGUCGGGCUAGCUUCGGGCCGGGCGUGCAGGAGUCUCGGCUUGGAGCCCCGCCUGGCUGGAGUCGACUGGGGCCAGACCCGACUGCUUCGUCCGGUGCCUCGGGCAUUCCCGAAGCAAAUCGGCAAGCGCAGGGUGAAGUUUAAAGGGGAAGUUGAGCUCUAGAGUCAGCCGGAGAUACCUGUGGAGACGGGCAACCCGCCGUAGCAAGCGGCGUCUCUGCUGGAACGGAAAUAUUUUAUAUUUGCGUUUUUAUAAAUCACACAGGCAGUGGGGAAACGGGCUAAGAAAUGUGUUCACUUGUACACAUUUCUAUUGUCAUGACUCCACAUAUCUCUUAAAUCUAAGAGAUUUAAUCAAAUCUGCGUUGACAUUCACAAUCACAGCUCUCCGCGAGGCUCUGUAGGCACUGGAGAGAAUUUUGGAAGCUGGAGUUCCGUGUUAGUUUAUUGUACUACUCAACCCCGGACGGUUCAAGAUGGGAACCCGUCACACUCCGCUCACUUUCCAAUUCAGGACAAGAAUGACAGGUUUUAACACACGGGGACACGGUCUCUCUCAUUAAUGCAAAAGAUCACACUCCGUUUUCUCUAUUUCUGGUCACCUUUCUUUUGGAUUUAGGACGUUUCACCAGAAACUAAUUGAAUUUUGCCCAUUUCUUUACUUCUUAUGUUUUGAGCCUCAUGUUCAAACCGCAGUUUGAGAUUUAGUUUGUGGCGUAAGUGGAUUGUGAUUGGCUGCCUGCACCAACUCCUUCUCAAUUUCUCCUGAAUAUGGCUUUGUCCACCUGGAGAGUUUAGGUGUUUUCAUUAGUUUUA
Molecule: long non-coding RNA, 1098 nt
Filed under: Homo sapiens (human)
Lineage: Eukaryota; Metazoa; Chordata; Mammalia; Primates; Hominidae
Description: non-protein coding lnc-USP44-3:1
Source: RNAcentral